CGCCUCUUGAUACACAUAAGAGGUCCAGCCUGCCCAGUGACUAAGUUCAACGGCCGCGGUAUCCUAACCGUGCGAAGGUAGCGUAAUCACUUGUUCUUUAAAUGAGGACUAGUAUGAAUGGCACCACGAGGGUUGUACUGUCUCCUUUUUUUAAUCAAUGAAACUGAUCCCCCCGUGAAGAAGCGGGGAUAAAUAUAUAAGACGAGAAGACCCUAUGGAGCUUUAAACAAUUAUAGCACUGGCCCACACUUCUUAUUCUUCUGAGACAUUACUAAUAUACAGGCCUACAUGACUAUUAGUUUUAGGUUGGGGUGACCGCGGAGCAAAAACUAACCUCCACGUUGAACGGAGCUACUCCUGAGCCAAAAGCUACAACUUUAAGCACCAAUAAACUGACAUCAAUUGACCCAACAUGUUGAGCAACGAACCAAGUUACCCUAGGGAUAACAGCGCAAUCCAUUUCAAGAGCCCCUAUCGACAAAUGGGUUUACGACCUCGAUGUUGGAUCAGGGUAUCCUAGUGGUGCAGCCGCUACUAAAGGUUCGUUUGUUCAACGAUUAAAACCCUACGUGAUCUGAGU
RNAcentral lists this ribosomal RNA (580 nucleotides) under Dendropsophus branneri. Its description in RNAcentral is "LSU rRNA". It matches the Rfam family "Bacterial large subunit ribosomal RNA", at positions 1819 to 2610 of the family's 2925-position model. The record is from RNAcentral. Lineage: Eukaryota; Metazoa; Chordata; Amphibia; Anura; Hylidae.